RNAcentral lists this ribosomal RNA (821 nucleotides) under Streptomyces sp. 0112ALTP103. RNAcentral describes it as "bacterial SSU rRNA". It matches the Rfam family "Bacterial small subunit ribosomal RNA", at positions 57 to 894 of the family's 1533-position model. The record is from RNAcentral. Lineage: Bacteria; Bacillati; Actinomycetota; Actinomycetes; Kitasatosporales; Streptomycetaceae.
GCAGUCGAACGAUGAAGCCCUUCGGGGUGGAUUAGUGGCGAACGGGUGAGUAACACGUGGGCAAUCUGCCCUUCACUCUGGGACAAGCCCUGGAAACGGGGUCUAAUACCGGAUAACACUCCUGCCUGCAUGGGCGGGGGUUAAAAGCUCCGGCGGUGAAGGAUGAGCCCGCGGCCUAUCAGCUUGUUGGUGGGGUAAUGGCCCACCAAGGCGACGACGGGUAGCCGGCCUGAGAGGGCGACCGGCCACACUGGGACUGAGACACGGCCCAGACUCCUACGGGAGGCAGCAGUGGGGAAUAUUGCACAAUGGGCGAAAGCCUGAUGCAGCGACGCCGCGUGAGGGAUGACGGCCUUCGGGUUGUAAACCUCUUUCAGCAGGGAAGAAGCGAAAGUGACGGUACCUGCAGAAGAAGCGCCGGCUAACUACGUGCCAGCAGCCGCGGUAAUACGUAGGGCGCAAGCGUUGUCCGGAAUUAUUGGGCGUAAAGAGCUCGUAGGCGGCUUGUCACGUCGGAUGUGAAAGCCCGAGGCUUAACCUCGGGUCUGCAUUCGAUACGGGCUAGCUAGAGUGUGGUAGGGGAGAUCGGAAUUCCUGGUGUAGCGGUGAAAUGCGCAGAUAUCAGGAGGAACACCGGUGGCGAAGGCGGAUCUCUGGGCCAUUACUGACGCUGAGGAGCGAAAGCGUGGGGAGCGAACAGGAUUAGAUACCCUGGUAGUCCACGCCGUAAACGUUGGGAACUAGGUGUUGGCGACAUUCCACGUCGUCGGUGCCGCAGCUAACGCAUUAAGUUCCCCGCCUGGGGAGUACGGCCGGCAGGU